UACAGAGGUCUCAAGCAUUGUUCGGAUUCAUUGGGCGUAAAGGGUGCGUAGGCGGCGCGGUAAGUCGGGUGUGAAAUCUUGGAGCUUAACUCCGAAACUGCAUUCGAUACUGCCGUGCUUGAGGACUGGAGAGGAGACUGGAAUUUACGGUGUAGCGGUGAAAUGCGUAGAUAUCGUAAGGAAGACCAGUGGCGAAGGCGGGUCUCUGGACAGUUCCUGACGCUGAGGCACGAAGGUCAGGGGAGCAAACGGG
This 253-nucleotide ribosomal RNA is filed under the name uncultured bacterium. Its description in RNAcentral is "partial 16S ribosomal RNA". It matches the Rfam family "Bacterial small subunit ribosomal RNA", at positions 524 to 776 of the family's 1533-position model. The record is from RNAcentral.